Daucus carota subsp. sativus is the source of this 3361-nucleotide RNA transcript. RefSeq lists it as uncharacterized. NCBI's taxonomy places the organism in Eukaryota, Viridiplantae, Streptophyta, Magnoliopsida, Apiales, Apiaceae. The record is from RefSeq and is a predicted model, not a curated record. The transcript has 13 exons.
UUUCUCUUUUCUCUGUACAUGUAUGUAUAACUCUGUAUAUACACACAACAAUACAGACACACAAAAACGAGUUAAAUUCGCCGAGCUGACUCAGUGAGUUAAUCAUGUCGAUACGAUUUAAGUUCCGAAGCGCCGUGAGCUUCGACGCGGUUGAUAUCGGCGAGCGGCCGGCGAUCUCAGUCGGAGAGCUGAAGUCGAAGAUCAUCGCUCAGAAAAAUCUCAAUUUGUGCCAGGGAUUCGAUCUCGUGUUCUCUGAUCAUCUCACCGGCCAAGAGUAUGGCGACGAAAACUAUCAAAUUCCAAGCAAUUCGAGUGUCAUCAUCAAGAGAGUUCCUGCUGAAUCAGUGUCUCCAGCUUUGUUAGGAGGCCAAAAUCUUCAAACAAAUGACCUUGUUGAGGUUAUUCCCAAAGGUCCUGAUCAUAAUGGCACCAAAGGGAAAUUACCACCAGAAAAGCUUGAACCAGAAGUCCAAGAGCAUGUAAAGCUGGAGCCAGAAAUCCAAGAGAAUGUAAAGCUGGAACCAGAAGUCCAAGAGAAUGAGAAGCUGGGAAAAGCGAUCGACCCCUAUGAUUUAGCAGAGAAAAAUCCUUCCUUAAUACCAGAAUUUAGAUGCCCCAUUUGCACGAAGGUUCUAAAGGAGGCUGUGAUGACACGUUGCUGCCAGCGCAGCUUUUGUGAAAGAUGUAUUUGUGGAGUCCUCAAUGAAAAGUCAAAGUGCCCUAAAUGUUCUUCUGACAAAUUUAAGGCAGAGGAUUUACUGCCGAAUGUGUCACUGAGGCUAGCAAUUAUGCAACUUCUUGAAUCUCAAAUUCAAUGUUCUAUCUCAGAAACUGCAUUGCGGAGAUAUGCCCCAGAUGAAGAAUCUGGUAUCCAGGCUAACGGUCUCUCUAGUGCUCUGACUAUCUAUCAGAAGAGGCAAACAAAUGUUCUUUACGCUUCUGCUACUGAGAAAGGAUCAAACCGCUUACUGGGAGAAUCUUAUCAUGGUGAAUUGAAAACCGGAUAUCAUCCAGGUCUUGCUGAUUGCCAAGGAGAGAAUCAUCCCUUCAAUUUGCAUCAAAAUCAUGGGCGAGAGAAAGGUGAAAACAGAAAAGUUUCAACUACUGCUAGAUACAGAAAGGCGGACCGUACAUGUUACAUGUGUGACGCUCCUAACCAUCUUAUAAAAGAAUGUCCCUUUGUCAAUGGUCCACAUCCUUGGCUACAGACAGGUAAUUCUAUGUAUUCAGUGGGGGCGAGACCAACUUUUGCAGCACCAUAUUGGAACAACACUGCAUAUGGUCCUAUGAGGCCUUUUACUAAUUUAUAUGCAAAUCAUGGAAUGAUGCCCUAUAAUUCGUCUAUGUUUCCGGUCUCACCUGUUGGUGUUUCUCCAUACAUGGCAGCUAUAACUGCCCAUAGUGGCUUUCAAAGUAUGGCUGGUAUGGCACCCCUAGCAGGAAACAGAACAGAAUAUCCCUUUAGGCAUGAAGAUUUUUUGAAAAUUGAGAGUUGCGACAUCAGAGGGAACCGGUCAAAGGAAUACAUGAUGAGAAAACAGCCCAGUGAUGAUGAUGGUGCCGGCAUACAGACGAAUCGCCAUAAUCUGCCAAAAAGUUCAGAAGAAUACUUAUUUCAUAAAGAGAGGAAAAACAGUGGGAGCUACUCGGGGGAGAAAAAACCUCGAAGAUCGCGUGGUGAUGAUCUUCAUGCCGGAGAUUUUGAUUGUAAAGCACACUCUCGGCAUGAUCGACAUGGGAAGAACUCUCGGUCAUUAACUAGAACAGGAGAUAGGAAAGCAUAUCACAGGGAGAGAUCAAAUUCUGGCGCGGAAGAUAUGUCCAACAGCCCUGAUAGAUAUGUUGAUGAAAGGCAUAAACAUCGUCAUCAUAAAAUCACCAGGAACCAUUAUGAGCGAAGGGGGCAUUUUGGCAGUGAUUCUAAUUGGAACGAGGGUUGUGAUGGCCAGAAAGAUAAAAGAAGGGUUUACUCUGAUGAAAAAGGUUUUAGUAAGAAGCAUGCCUGCUCGUUUGGCUCUGGUGAAGAAUCAAGUUUUUCUGGCGAUUGGGAAAAGCGGCGGAGAGAGGGAGUUCACAUUAGAAGUUCCAAACAUGCUAGAGAAGGCACUAAAUACACUCGAGAUGAAUUAUUUUGUAGGUCCAAAAUGGUCAGGCGGGAUGAGGACUCUGGAAAGGACAAUUAUCAACUGAAGCGGAAAAGAGUUUACUAAAAGGAUAAGAUAUUAAAAAAUGCAUGGCUUGAAGGUGAAUGUGUAAAUGAAGUAACAUAUAUAUGCCAUGUGGUACCUGUUCAAUACAGUCAGAUCUUUAGAGUGGUGGAUCUUUGGACAGUAACAUCAGAAUUAACUGUUGUUAAUUUGUGCCAACUAACCCUUUUCACAUAUUUAACUUGAGGUGCGGAAGCUAGUUAGAAAUGUUUUUGCCAGAUAAGUGGCUGUAGAAAGGUAGGAUUUUGACGUUCACCUGCUGUUCAACCAUCCUUUUCCAUGAAGAUACUGUAGCUGUUUAAGGUAUGUACUCUACUUGAAAACUGCUGCUACCUCACCGUGUGCGUGAGAUUUGAAACGAAGAAAACAGGAAAAUGAAUUUAAGUGGUCUUCUCCAUAUUUCUUAUCCAAUAGUUCUAUGGAGGGAGCAAAGGGGAACAGGGAUGGUGGGAUCCAAACCCAAUUUACAAAUGGAAAACAAAUCACCAUCAUAUUUUGAAACCGUUGGAUUGUGCUCUAUAAGUAAUCAACUACCAUAUAACGUCUUCUUAUGAACAAACAGAAGCUGCAAGAAGACUGCAGUCUGUUUUUUCCCUGGAUUAAAUUCAUUUUCGUUCUGUUUUCAGUCUCACUAACACGGUGGUAGUCGUUUGCAUUACUUUUAGAUUGCGUUUGGGAACGUAUUUCAUUUCAAAUUUUGGAUUUUAAAUGACAUGAUUUGAUGUCUCAUUUCAUCAAAUUCUCAUCUUUAUACUAGUAUUUGAGUGUCCUGGAUUUCAAAUGAAAUUCAAAUCUAUGUUUUUUUGUGCAUCCAAACAUGUCAUUUGAUCAAAUCCAGGAUUUCAAAUGAAAUCCAAGUUUCCAAACAAACCAUUCUAUUACUCUAAAUAUUCAGUUCUUGCAUCUAAAUAGUUAUAUAAUAUAGAAUUUAAAUGGGUUUAUUUGCCUGAGGAAACCAUUGAAUGACAAUUUUUCUUGCUCAAGUAGCCAGAAAGACAGGGAUCAAAUUUGACUUUCUGAUUGCCACUUUCAGAGAUCAGACCAUUCUGAGGAAAAGGUAUUGAUUUCCCUUGAUUAUACAAAAUUUGGGCUUUUUUUUAUAGCCAGAAAAACAAUAUAAUAUGGUGUUUGACCUGAACAUUUAGUAAUUAUGU